UUUGCCCAUGCAAUUUCCUAUGAACGAUAAGACUCUAUGGUCAUAGUAUUAGUCGGGGAGGCUAAAUAUUCUAACACAUACUGUAAGAUUCUUGAUAUCAUCACUAUUGGGGCAGAAGUUUGCACUGCACUCCCUCACAGAGAGGUAGCGGUCGUAGAUAAGCCAACGUGACAAGUUAGUAUUCUUGGACAAGGUCCACAAUACACAAUAUUCCUCUUUUCGCCCAAAGUUAUUUCAACAUGUUCUCUAGGGCUUUAUACCAUAUUCUUCUUC
RNAcentral lists this long non-coding RNA (273 nucleotides) under Lathyrus oleraceus (garden pea). RNAcentral describes it as "Pisum sativum (pea) long non-coding RNA (PSAT_LNC009350)". The record is from RNAcentral. Lineage: Eukaryota; Viridiplantae; Streptophyta; Magnoliopsida; Fabales; Fabaceae.